This 292-nucleotide long non-coding RNA is filed under the name Anser brachyrhynchus (Pink-footed goose). RNAcentral describes it as "lncRNA (ENSABRG00000013287.1)". Lineage: Eukaryota; Metazoa; Chordata; Aves; Anseriformes; Anatidae. The record is from RNAcentral.
GAAGUAUGAAUGGGAUUGAAGUAUUUACGUGGAGGACUCUGAACUCCUUCCCUUCCUGAGUCAGGAAGGAUAGGGGCCUGCUUUGAGACCUACUGAAGCUGUCUUGAAUGAUGUGACAAAUAUGUAACCAGAUGUGGUGUUUCUGGUGAGAGGCUCUGGGCUAGCCUGUCAUGUCAGUGCAGUCAUGUCUUUGCACUUGAAUUGCUUCUGGUAUGUGCCUUAAUUAAUUAAUAGUGUAAUCUGUCCAAAGAAGCCUCCUCUCUCCUUAGAUAGAGGUUUCUCAUUUAAAACG